This 300-nucleotide ribosomal RNA is filed under the name uncultured Pyrobaculum sp. RNAcentral's name for it is "bacterial SSU rRNA". It matches the Rfam family "Bacterial small subunit ribosomal RNA", at positions 496 to 795 of the family's 1533-position model. The record is from RNAcentral. Lineage: Archaea; Thermoproteati; Thermoproteota; Thermoprotei; Thermoproteales; Thermoproteaceae.
UCCAACGCCGUGCCAGAAUCCGUGGUAUGCCGCAAGUUGCAACCUGUAACCGGAAGUACUGCGCCGAAAGCGUUCGCAGGCGGUGAUGUAGAACAGUUGUGAAGGCCCCGGGCUCAACCUGGGAACUGCAUCUGUGACUGCAUUGCUGGGGUGCGGAAGAGGGGGAUGGAAUUCCGCGUGUAGCAGUGAAAUGCGUAGAUAUGCGGAGGAACACCGAUGGCGAAGGCAAUCCCCUGGGCCUGCACUGACGCUCAUGCACGAAAGCGUGGGGAGCAAACAGGAUUAGAUACCCCAGUAGUC